UGCAAGUCGAGCGAGAACCAGCCUUCGGGCUUGGGGAAAGCGGCGAACGGGUGAGUAACACGUGGGUAACCCACCCUUGGUACUGGGAUAGCCCGGGGAAACCCGGAUUAAUACCGGAUGGCCCAACAGCUCUUCGGGGCGGUUGGAAAAGGUAGCUUCGGCCUCCGACCAAGGACGGGCCCGCGGCGGAUUAGCUUGUUGGCGGGGUAACGGCCCACCAAGGCGACGAUCCGUAGCUGGUCUGAGAGGACGAUCAGCCACACUGGGACUGAGACACGGCCCAGACUCCUACGGGAGGCAGCAGUGGGGAAUCUUGCGCAAUGGACGAAAGCCUGACGCAGCGACGCCGCGUGGGGGAAGAAGGCUUUCGGGUUGUAAACCCCUUUCAGGAGAGACGAAGCCACUCAGGUUAAUAGCCGAGAGGGUGACGGUACCUCCAGAAGAAGCCCCGGCUAACUACGUGCCAGCAGCCGCGGUAAUACGUAGGGGGCAAGCGUUGUCCGGAUUUAUUGGGCGUAAAGAGCGUGUAAGCGGUUUGGUAGGUCCGUUGUGAAACUCGAGGCUCAACCUCGAGACGCCG
This 580-nucleotide ribosomal RNA is filed under the name uncultured earthworm cast bacterium. Its description in RNAcentral is "bacterial SSU rRNA". It matches the Rfam family "Bacterial small subunit ribosomal RNA", at positions 56 to 626 of the family's 1533-position model. The record is from RNAcentral.